RNAcentral lists this ribosomal RNA (305 nucleotides) under uncultured bacterium. RNAcentral's name for it is "bacterial SSU rRNA". It matches the Rfam family "Bacterial small subunit ribosomal RNA", at positions 337 to 659 of the family's 1533-position model. The record is from RNAcentral.
CCCUACGGGACGCAGCAGUGGGGAAUAUUGCACAAUGGGCGAAAGCCUGAUGCAGCAACGCCGCGUGAGUGAAGAAGGAUUUCGGUAUGUAAAGCUCUAUCAGCAGGGAAGAUAAUGACGGUACCUGAGUAAGAAGCCCCGGCUAACUACGUGCCAGCAGCCGCGGUAAUACGUAGGGGGCAAGCGUUAUCCGGAUUUACUGGGUGUAAAGGGAGCGUAGACGGCAUGGCAAGUCUGAAGUGAAAGCCCGUGGCUCAACCGCGGAACUGCUUUGGAAACUGUUAAGCUGGAGUGCAGGAGAGGUG